Molecule: transfer RNA, 77 nt
Filed under: Candidatus Allofournierella merdipullorum
Lineage: Bacteria; Bacillati; Bacillota; Clostridia; Eubacteriales; Oscillospiraceae
Also listed under: 1 other name
Description: Candidatus Fournierella merdipullorum tRNA-Arg
Rfam family: tRNA
About the family: Transfer RNA (tRNA) molecules are approximately 80 nucleotides in length. Their secondary structure includes four short double-helical elements and three loops (D, anti-codon, and T loops). Further hydrogen bonds mediate the characteristic L-shaped molecular structure. tRNAs have two regions of fundamental functional importance: the anti-codon, which is responsible for specific mRNA codon recognition, and the 3' end, to which the tRNAs corresponding amino acid is attached (by aminoacyl-tRNA synthetases). tRNAs cope with the degeneracy of the genetic code in two manners: having more than one tRNA (with a specific anti-codon) for a particular amino acid; and 'wobble' base-pairing, i.e. permitting non-standard base-pairing at the 3rd anti-codon position.
Source: RNAcentral
GCGUCCGUAGCUCAGAUGGAUAGAGCGUUCGGCUCCGACCCGGAAGGCCGCUGGUUCGAAUCCAGUCGGGCGCACCA